UAAGGAAUAUUGCUCAAUGGGAGAAAUCCUGAAGCAGCAACGCCGCGUGGAGGAUGAAGGGUCUAUGACUUGUAAACUCCUGUAUAGAAGGAAAAAAUUCCCAUUUGAUGGGAGAUGAUGGUACUUCUGGAGUAAGCCCCGGCUAACUACGUGCCAGCAGCCGCGGUAAUACGUAGGGGGCAAGCGUUGUCCGGAUUUACUGGGUGUAAAGGGUGCUCAGGCGGAUUUGUAAGUCAGAGGUGAAAUCUUACAGCUUAACUGUGAAACUGCCUUUGAUACUGCAAGCCUAGAGUAUGGAAGAGAGUGAUGGAAUAUCUGGUGUAGCAGCGAAAUGCGUAGAUAUCAGAUAGAACACCAAUGGCGAAGGCAGUCACUUGGUCCAUUACUGACGCUAAAGCACGAAAGCGUGGGUAGCAAACA
RNAcentral lists this ribosomal RNA (420 nucleotides) under uncultured bacterium. RNAcentral describes it as "bacterial SSU rRNA". It matches the Rfam family "Bacterial small subunit ribosomal RNA", at positions 355 to 774 of the family's 1533-position model. The record is from RNAcentral.